RNAcentral lists this ribosomal RNA (252 nucleotides) under uncultured bacterium. Its description in RNAcentral is "partial 16S ribosomal RNA". It matches the Rfam family "Bacterial small subunit ribosomal RNA", at positions 30 to 289 of the family's 1533-position model. The record is from RNAcentral.
UUGAACGCUGGCGGCAUGCCUUACACAUGCAAGUCGAACGGUAGAGGGGCAACCCUUGAGAGUGGCGAACGGGUGAGUAAUAUAUCGGAACGUGCCCAGUCGUGGGGGAUAACGCAGCGAAAGCUGCGCUAAUACCGCAUACGAUCUAAGGAUGAAAGCGGGGGAUCGCAAGACCUCGCGCGAUUGGAGCGGCCGAUAUCAGAUUAGGUUGUUGGUGGGGUAAAAGCCUACCAAGCCGACGAUCUGUAGCUG